CAGGCCAUCAGACUCCAAACAGUCAUGCAACUGGAGCCUUUGAGGAUGACCCCUUCUGCCGGGGACCCUUAGGUCAGCCUCUAGAGAAGCUUUGACUGCUGUUUCCCCAAAACAGCGCCCCCUGCCAUCAGGAAGCAGAGAACAAGAAGAUUUACACUAGCCAUGCAAGGAAUCUUUGAAAGUCUAGCAGACCUGACUUGAAGAGAAGGCUCUAAACAAGAAAUUCUUCAUUCUGGAACAGUGAUUCUUAAAGUGCGGUUCAGAGACCCUGGGAGACAUUGACAUUCUUUCAGAGUGUGAGUGAGGAUUUCCUCUUUGCAACUACAAUCUGUGUAAGGUUGGAUUUUCUUUACAUACAUAAACUAAAAUAAGAUUGCAAUAAGAUGAAUGCAGAAGCAGAUAAGAGAAUCCAGCUGUCUUAAGUUAGACUUCACAGAGAUUUGCAAAAAUCCAAACAAGACCACUCUUGUCAUUAAAGUUAUUUUCCAUUUGUUAUGGUGAACUUAUUUUGCAGGAAAUUUGUUAUUUAUAGUAACAUACAAUUUUGUUUUUUGAUCAUUUUAAAUAAAUUAAUAAAUAUUCUAAGUUUUCUAUUUUUAAAAUUAUACAUGUCAGAACAGUUCUUUCAGGUCCUCAACAAUUUUAAGACUAUUAACUUGUUUUGGAUCAAAAAGUUCUAGAUUUGCUAUUCUAGACAUGAAUCCUUUGAAAUUAAUUGGCUUCAUAAGUAUAUUUUUCAAGUUUGUGGCUUGUCCUGUACCCUUCUACUGUGUAGAAGUUUUAAAUUUUAAUUUAAAGAAAUUUAAAAUUGUUUCCAUUUUUGUUUGUGCUUUUGGUG
RNAcentral lists this non-coding RNA (838 nucleotides) under Pan troglodytes (chimpanzee). Lineage: Eukaryota; Metazoa; Chordata; Mammalia; Primates; Hominidae. The record is from RNAcentral.